This is an RNA transcript of Erpetoichthys calabaricus (reedfish), 2798 nucleotides long. It is a transcript of the gene named trace amine-associated receptor 1-like, with no coding region annotated. Lineage: Eukaryota; Metazoa; Chordata; Cladistia; Polypteriformes; Polypteridae. The transcript is spliced from 3 exons. The record is from RefSeq and is a predicted model, not a curated record.
CUCUAUAACUGACAAAACACACAAAUACAACAGAUUAUAUGUUUUGUAAGUAUUCUGAAAUACACUACUAAAAUGUUUCAGCUGAUGCAUCUUUUUUUUAUUAAGGAGUGGUUUAUGUGGAUCCUUGACGCUACUAUCCUGCCUGAUUUACUGAAGAAAUCAACUCUUUGGAUUGUACCUGCAUAUUUUUUUCUGAAACUUGUUAGACACUGAGAUUUAUUCCCUCUCCUUUAUACUUUUAGAGGCAGCAUUAAUACUAGUGAAUGGGUAACUAACUACAAGAACAAUACUGGGUGAGACUGCCUGGCCUCAUCUCAGUUUUACUUUCUUUCAUGUUUAUGUACUGUAUGUACAUUUGUCUUUAAAUAUUUGUAAACUUAAACAGAUAAAAUAGAAAGAAAUGAAUUAUCCACAUUAGUUUAUUUAGACUUUGAUUUCAAACAGAAAGGCUCCAUUUUGUGUUUGCAAGGUAAUCACAAAAAUAUUGUAAUUUGUACUUUUUUCUAAACUGGAUCCUUAUAUUUUUUACAUAAUAAAAAUGAACAAAGUAAAUUUUUAAGACAUGAAUUAUAGUCAAAACCAAAACAAUAAAGAAUUUUGCUUUAAAUCUAUAAACGGAUCUUGCCCUAAAACAUCUUAUCCUUUUUAUAUUCGUGUGCCACUAUAUCUUUUUUUUGGCACUGCAAUUGUGAUCACAGUUCUUGGAAAUCUAAUGGUCAUUGUCUCUAUAUGUCAUUUUAAACAGCUUCACACUCCAACUAAUUUUCUUCUUCUUUCUUUGGCAUCGACAGAUUUGCUGUUAGGAGGGUUCAUAAUGGCCCCAAGCAUGAUUCGUUCUUUAGAAAGCUGUUGGUAUUUUGGAGAUUUAUUUUGUAAAAUUCACGUUAGCCUUGACAUCACACUUUCUACUGCCUCACUGAUUCACCUUCUCUUCAUUUCAAUUGAUCGUUAUUGUGCUGUGUGUUAUCCUUUGCACUACCAGACCAAAAUAACUUCAUGUGCUGCAGGUAUAAUGAUUGCCAUUAGCUGGAUAUUUGCAGGAAUUUAUGGAUGCUUUAUGUGUUUAAAUAUACAGGGACUAGAUGGGUUACAAAACCAUAAGUCUCAGUGUCUUGGGGGAUGUCUUUAUAUAUCAAGUCCAUUAUCAGGACUUGUUUCAUCACUGUUAUGUUUUUAUUUCCCAGGGUUCAUUAUGCUAGGCAUUUAUACUAAUAUUUUCAUAGUAGCAAGUAGACAAGCAAAAAUAAUCAAACAGACUGAACAGAGAGGGCAGACGGCUAAAGAAAAGAAAAUGGCAGUAUCAAUGAAACAAGAAAAGAAGGCUGCAAGAACGCUAGGGAUAACAAUCGGGUGCUUCUUUAUAUGUUGGUUGCCCUUUUUCCUGUACAGUUUUAUAAAUACAUUUGUGCAAUGCCAAACCUCAGCUUUUGUAACAGAACUGCUUUACUGGUUUGGUUAUUUGAAUUCUGCAUUUAAUCCUUUCAUUUAUGCAUUUAUGUUUAACUGGUUCAGAAAAUCUUUUCAAAUUAUAUUGUAUGGCAAAAUUUUUAAACCCAAUUCUUCUAGAAUAAAGCUGGUUAAACAUUAAUAUGUAAUAGGAGCGUUUAUCUUUAAAGAGUCAACAAAAUAUGAAAGCAGAACAACAGAGUUAGAAGCUGAGUGAGAUACUAAAAUAGUCUUUUGUCAUGGUUAAACUAGCGUUUCUGAAGUUUUUUGCUUUAGUUUUUGAGGAGUCAAAACUUAUACUGGCAAUACAAAGUGUACGAAAAGUCAAUAUUGGAGUUUAUUCCACUACAGGGCACAGCAAGACACCCUUUAAACAAACCUACACAUCUUUAGAAUGUAAGAAGAAAACAAAUUACAGGUAAAAAAAACACAUUCACACACAGAGAGAACACACAAAUUACCCACUGAACUGGAACCCAAUGGAACUAACAACUACUAUAUGCCACUAUUCUGCCCUAACUUUUAAUGUAAAUGUUCAUAAUUAUAAUGUAACUAUAUCAUAAUAACUAGACAGAAAAUGUGUUUAAUAAUGCUAUUGUCAUUUAAAAAAUAGUAAUGUUACUGGUAAUAACUUAAAAAGAAAAUAAAUAUUGCAGACAACAGCAGAUUAUUUGGCCAAAUCAAGCUACUUAGUUGACUAAGAGCUAAGUUGUCUCAUUAUGUCAUUCAGCUACUUUCUGUUUUAAAUUUUUUUCAGGUCAUUCAUUUCAGCUAUAUGAUUCACUCAUUUGUAUCCAGAUUUCUACAAGCUUUUUUAUAAAAUUGAUUUCCUAGUUUUAUUUUUUUGUCAUGAUUGCACCUCUUAAUUUCCUUCCAUUUUCUUAAGUACAAAACUGUUCAUCUGAUGGGAUUCUACUUGAGUAGCUUUAUUGAUAUCUUUGAAAAUUCUGAUGAUCAAGAUUAGCUACAUAGGCAGCACAUGUAUGUGCUUAAAGAAGUUUAGUUCCUUUGCUGUGCCAUGAUAGGUCUGUCGCAGAAAAUUACAAAAAGUACAUUUCUGUUAAAGCUUUUUUUUCUUUUCUUCUGUAUGAAAUUGAGUGUUCUGGGUGUAUUUCUACUAUAAAAACAAAAUAUUCUCUAUCCACCAUGUCCUAUUCAGUUACCAAGGGAAUGAUGAGAUAAUUAUAAAUACAUAUAGUCUUUUUUCAUAGGAUUUAUAAAUAAGAAGUUUUUUUCAGAGCUAAAUGUGUGUGUCAAAGACUUUUAACAUGUUAACUAUUUUAGGAUCAUUAGAUUAUAUUGAAAACAUUGGUAUGUUCCUAGGUUAUACCAUUUGUUUAGUGCUAAUUGGU